RNAcentral lists this ribosomal RNA (504 nucleotides) under uncultured bacterium. RNAcentral's name for it is "partial 16S ribosomal RNA". It matches the Rfam family "Bacterial small subunit ribosomal RNA", at positions 30 to 523 of the family's 1533-position model. The record is from RNAcentral.
AUUGAACGCUGGCGGCAGGCCUAACACAUGCAAGUCGAACGGUAGCACAGAGAGCUUGCUCUCGGGUGACGAGUGGCGGACGGGUGAGUAAUGUCUGGGAAACUGCCCGAUGGAGGGGGAUAACUACUGGAAACGGUAGCUAAUACCGCAUAACGUCGCAAGAUCAAAGUGGGGGACCUUCGGGCCUCACACCAUCGGAUGUGCCCAGAUGGGAUUAGCUAGUAGGUGGGGUAAUGGCUCACCUAGGCGACGAUCCCUAGCUGGUCUGAGAGGAUGACCAGCCACACUGGAACGGAGACACGGUCCAGACUCCUACGGGAGGCAGCAGUGGGGAAUAUUGCACAAUGGGCGCAAGCCUGAUGCAGCCAUGCCGCGUGUAUGAAGAAGGCCUUCGGGUUGUAAAGUACUUUCAGCGGGGAGGAAGGCGGUGAAGUUAAUAACUUCACCGAUUGACGUUACCCGCAGAAGAAGCACCGGCUAACUUCGUGCCAGCAGCCGCCGUAA